This 687-nucleotide ribosomal RNA is filed under the name uncultured Bacilli bacterium. RNAcentral describes it as "bacterial SSU rRNA". It matches the Rfam family "Bacterial small subunit ribosomal RNA", at positions 61 to 729 of the family's 1533-position model. Lineage: Bacteria; Bacillati; Bacillota; Bacilli. The record is from RNAcentral.
GUCGAGCGGACCGACGGGAGCUUGCUCCCUUAGGUCAGCGGCGGACGGGUGAGUAACACGUGGGUAACCUGCCUGUAAGACUGGGAUAACUCCGGGAAACCGGGGCUAAUACCGGAUGCUUGAUUGAACCGCAUGGUUCAAUCAUAAAAGGUGGCUUUUAGCUACCACUUACAGAUGGACCCGCGGCGCAUUAGCUAGUUGGUGAGGUAACGGCUCACCAAGGCGACGAUGCGUAGCCGACCUGAGAGGGUGAUCGGCCACACUGGGACUGAGACACGGCCCAGACUCCUACGGGAGGCAGCAGUAGGGAAUCUUCCGCAAUGGACGAAAGUCUGACGGAGCAACGCCGCGUGAGUGAUGAAGGUUUUCGGAUCGUAAAACUCUGUUGUUAGGGAAGAACAAGUACCGUUCGAAUAGGGCGGCACCUUGACGGUACCUAACCAGAAAGCCACGGCUAACUACGUGCCAGCAGCCGCGGUAAUACGUAGGUGGCAAGCGUUGUCCGGAAUUAUUGGGCGUAAAGCGCGCGCAGGCGGUUUCUUAAGUCUGAUGUGAAAGCCCCCGGCUCAACCGGGGAGGGUCAUUGGAAACUGGGGAACUUGAGUGCAGAAGAGGAGAGUGGAAUUCCACGUGUAGCGGUGAAAUGCGUAGAGAUGUGGAGGAACACCAGUGGCGAAGGCGACUCUC